RNAcentral lists this long non-coding RNA (1232 nucleotides) under Salmo salar (Atlantic salmon). RNAcentral's name for it is "lncRNA (ENSSSAG00000099841.1, ENSSSAG00000101342.1)". Lineage: Eukaryota; Metazoa; Chordata; Actinopteri; Salmoniformes; Salmonidae. The record is from RNAcentral.
CAAAAACAUAACUGUUUGUAAAAACUCAAGCUUCCUAACCUUCAACGUGUUAUCAGAAAAUAAAAUAUAAAUUUUACUCAACUGCGUUACCCACUCCGGUCAACAAAAAGCAAUGUGGGACUUUAAGACGAUGCUGUUAGUGUGACGUAUAAUGUAGUGGACGGGACGCUUCUUUCAACAGCAACAACAGUUAGUCAGCCACCUCGGUAGCUUGCUAGCCAAAAUAGCUUAACCAAUAAAGCUCUUUAGACGCUUUCGUGUAUAUUAGCCACUGUGUUUUAAACCCACUUCUGUCGUCCAGUGAGUUAUCCGAUUAAAUUUCAUAUUUACAUUGUUGUUGUUAUUAGUCAGCUAACGGGCUGGUUAAGUUAGCAUUAGCCUAGCUAACUAACAUCUCCGACAAUGAGUUCACCAAACUACUCUCCUCCUGCUAAAGAAGAGGAGAUCUACUGGACGGAGAAAGAACCUCUCGUGAAAGAGGAGGAGGAGGAGGAGGCUGUUACAGUGAAAGAAGAAGAGAAAGACGUUUCAGUGAAAGAAGAGGAAGACGCGUUCAGAGGGAAAGAGGAGGAGGAUGUUACAGUAAAAGAAGAAGAGAAAGAGAAAGAGGAGGAUGCUGUUUUUGGAGUGAAAGAGGAGGAGGGGGAGAUGACUGUUACAUCGAAGAAGGAGGAGGAAGAAGAGGAGGAAACUGGAUAUCUGGGCCCCGUUUCCCAAAGUUAUCUUAAGGCAUCCAAUGGUUCUAAUGAUGAACUUAGCCGUAAGAUGGUUUUGGGAAACCGGGCGCUGAUUAAUACUAGAUCAAUGUCCCGAAAUCUGGACAGUUGCUGCUCUGAAGACACUCUAGAAGACAACCAAACUUGUUUCAUCAUUCUACAUUACAUAUUGGCUACGCAACACGUCAAUUAUACCAUGGAGGUCAGCCAUCAUUAAGCACCAAUGAGACGAGCUGUGUUCACUUGAUUGACAGUGUCUUGGUCCAAUGACCACCUAUCGUUUUGAAAUAUAACUAGCUAGAUAGCCAAUGAGCUGGGCUUUCCAGCAGUAUGUGAAUGCCCUUUAUAACGACAAACAGCCAUCUUGCUAGAGCUGUGUGCAACAGUGUUCAUUCUCAGGUUAAAGGAAACAGGUAGUUUACGUUACGCAGAGGUUCGUUCUAUAUAUUCCAACAAUAUUCCUGAAUUUAAACAGUUUUGUAAAGAGGAAUGGUCCAAAAUUCGUCCUGACCGUUG